CCCUUUUGUGCAUGAGUUGUGGGGUAUGAGUGGUUCGGGCUAACACCAGCGUCCUUGGAGAUCUUUUCGCUAUGUUUGUAUUCUUCUUGCUUUUCAAAUGGUAACCUGAAAGGAAAGGAAGGGACUUCUAAGUAUUUGGCUUGCAGUGGUGUGGCUCAUUUUGGAAAGCAAGGAACAAUUAUGUGUUUUCUUCUAAAGUGCCGG
This 204-nucleotide long non-coding RNA is filed under the name Trifolium pratense (red clover). RNAcentral's name for it is "long non-coding RNA (TPRA_LNC013700)". The record is from RNAcentral. Lineage: Eukaryota; Viridiplantae; Streptophyta; Magnoliopsida; Fabales; Fabaceae.